This 344-nucleotide unclassified non-coding RNA is filed under the name soil metagenome. Its description in RNAcentral is "partial contains 5.8S ribosomal RNA, internal transcribed spacer 2, and large subunit ribosomal RNA". The stretch from base 2 to 120 matches the Rfam family "5.8S ribosomal RNA", at positions 36 to 154 of the family's 154-position model. The record is from RNAcentral.
CAUGAAGAACGCAGCGAAAUGCGAUAAGUAAUGUGAAUUGCAGAAUUCAGUGAAUCAUCGAAUCUUUGAACGCACAUUGCGCCCGCCAGUAUUCUGGCGGGCAUGCCUGUUCGAGCGUCAUUUCAACCCUCAAGCCCCCGGGCUUGGUGUUGGGGAUCGGCGUGCCCUCGCGGCGCGCCGUCCCCUAAAUCUAGUGGCGGUCUCGCUGUAGCUUCCUCUGCGUAGUAGCAACACUCGCACUGGAUCGCAGCGCGGCCACGCCGUUAAACCCCCCACUUCUGAAAGUUUGACCUCGGAUCAGGUAGGAAUACCCGCUGAACUUAAGCAUAUCAAUAAGCGGAGGA